RNAcentral lists this ribosomal RNA (120 nucleotides) under Ipomoea nil (Japanese morning glory). The record is from RNAcentral. Lineage: Eukaryota; Viridiplantae; Streptophyta; Magnoliopsida; Solanales; Convolvulaceae.
GGAUGCGAUCAUACCAGCACUAAUGCACCGGAUCCCAUCAGAACUCCGAAGUUAAGCGUGCUUGGGCGAGAGUAGUACUAGGAUGGGUGACCCCCUGGGAAGUCCUCCGUGUUGCAUCCC